Long non-coding RNA from Pezoporus flaviventris, 1494 nucleotides. RefSeq lists it as uncharacterized. The transcript has 2 exons. NCBI's taxonomy places the organism in Eukaryota, Metazoa, Chordata, Aves, Psittaciformes, Psittacidae. The record is from RefSeq and is a predicted model, not a curated record.
GUCCAACCCCCAUACCAUGACCAGGGACAUCUUCAACUAGAUCAUGUUGCUCAGAACCACAUCUAGGCUGGCCUUAAGUGUCUCCAGGGAUAGCUCAUCCACUGCCUCUCUGGGCAACCUGUGCCAAUAUUUUACCACCCUUUUUGUAAAGAAUUUCUUCCAGCCUGAAUCUCCCCUCUUUUAGUUUAAAACCGUUACCCCUUGUCCUAUUGCAAACAUUCAUUUGUGCUAGGAAAAACAGUGCUUAUUCCGCCAUUCAGAGACAUCAUAAGUAAACUGCAGUACCCUGUGAACUCUAAACCUGUUCACUGUACAGAAACAAGUACCAGGAUCUCAGUGAAUAGCUGGGGGUAUAAUUUAUUUAUCUUUGGCUUUUGUUUCUUAUACAUGAGGUCAAACCCAAUGUGCCUGGAAAAUAAAUAUAUAAAAUAUUAGAAAAAAAAAACUUUGAACUUUCUUAGGGUAAAGCAAAAUACUUUCUUUUGUAAUUGUUGUGAAAUCCAGGUUUAUCUCAAUGUAAAACCAGCAUAACAAUUGUAUGUCCAAAUAUAUUUAAAAAGAAGGAAGAUCCUUAUACUGGGACUGUGAAAUGUAUUUUAAGUAUGAGACCACAUUUUUUUUUCUUACUAUGAAUGAGGAUAGUUGAUAUUGACCAGUUGGAGCCGAGUCUAUCCAAGAAGUCACCUUGGCCAAGCCAGGUAUACCUCGAACUCAGGCCACAUGAGGACUAGGGCACAGGCCUAAGCUUAAAUGCAGCUCGAAAGCCAAAGUGAGAGAGGUGUGCGGGUGGAUGGAGAAGAUAAGGCUUCUCACAGCUGUUCUCACAGAGCCCUUGUCCCUGUUACACAGCUGUGUCAUAUCAGAGCAUAGCUUGAAUGCUGGCAGCUGAAGUCUAGGGGGUGGAUGGAUGACACUGAUAAAAAUUUUAUAGGAGAGGAAGGUUGCAGGCUGCUCAAGGUAUUUGCAACCUAUUUGUUUUCUUAAAGUUUUGAUCCUGAAAUUAUAUUUACUAUUUUGAGUUGGGGUAGUGAGGCAUUCUGGCUUUUAGAUGUUCUAGCUAUGCAGACAAGUAUGAAAUCUUUCUCUUCUUACUGCUACUAUGGCAUGAAUUCAGGAAACUUCAAUAACCCCUUGUACUUUCAUUAGUCAAGUGCUGCAUAGCAUGAGCAGCUUGGUAACUGAGCUACAAGAUAACAUAAUGAAAAAGAAAUAUAUUGAUCAUGACAAAGCUUUUUUUUCCUCUAGGAUGUGUUAUUCUUCUCCACUGGAUUUGGUUUCUUGGUCCCAUAUUAUACUAAACACAAAACUUAUUUUCAGCUCUUUUCUAUGAUACUAGGCCAUCUUUUCUAUUUCUGGGCCAAAUGAUUUAAUUAUUGCAUGCAAAAUGGAACAGCUUUAACAAGGACUCAGACUUCCCUUUGGACCAGAUGUUGGUUAAGUGCUCACCUGUCACAUAACAGCUAGCAUGUACUACACUGGAUAGCAUUAACAGAG